GCCGGGGUGGCGAAAUUGGUAUACGCACCAGACUCAAAAUCUGGCGGAAGUAAUUCCAUGUCGGUUCGACUCCGACCCUCGGCA
RNAcentral lists this transfer RNA (84 nucleotides) under Pyrinomonadaceae bacterium. RNAcentral describes it as "tRNA-Leu". It matches the Rfam family "tRNA". Rfam says of the family: Transfer RNA (tRNA) molecules are approximately 80 nucleotides in length. Their secondary structure includes four short double-helical elements and three loops (D, anti-codon, and T loops). The record is from RNAcentral. Lineage: Bacteria; Pseudomonadati; Acidobacteriota; Blastocatellia; Blastocatellales; Pyrinomonadaceae.